This 603-nucleotide ribosomal RNA is filed under the name Melampsora laricis-populina. Its description in RNAcentral is "Melampsora larici-populina partial large subunit ribosomal RNA". The record is from RNAcentral. Lineage: Eukaryota; Fungi; Basidiomycota; Pucciniomycetes; Pucciniales; Melampsoraceae.
CAAAAAGCGGAAAAGAAAAUAACUAUGAUUCCCUUAGUAACGGCGAGUGAACAGGGAAAAGCCCAAAUUUGUAAUCUGGCACUUUUUACAAGUGUCCGAGUUGUAAUUUGUAGAACUGUUAUCCGYGCUGGACCAUGUACAAGUCUGUUGAAAAGCAGCAUCAUUGAAGGUGAAAAUCCUGUAGAUGAUAUGGACUACCAGUGCAUUUGUGAUACGGUUUCUAAGAGUCGAGUUGUUUGGGAAUGCAGCUCAAAGUGGGUGGUAAAUUCCAUCUAAGGCUAAAUAUAAGUGAGAGACCGAUAGCAAACAAGUACCGUGAGGGAAAGAUGAAAAGAACUUUGAAAAUAGAGUUAACAGUACGUGAAAUUGCUGAAAGGGAAACGUUUGAAGUUAGUUUUGUAUUCGUUGGAUCAGCUUCGCAAGGAGUGUAUUCUGAUGAUAAGCAAGUCAACAUCAAUCUAUGAGUGUCGGAGAAGGGUUUUGAGAAUGUAGCAAUUUUUAUUAAUUGUGUUAUAGCUUGAGACUUGGAUACGAUGCUUUGGAUUGAGGAACGCGUAGUAAGCUUUGAGCGGAUUCGAAAGGAUCUCCUUACUAUGGAUGUUG